UCUGAUUGACAUUACACUCAUGAAGUUACUUUGUUCUAUAAUCAAUAGAUCCUUUCCUGGCUUUUUCAAACUUGGUGGAAAACGUGGGAAAAAAAGAUUUUUUGCUGCCUCUACGCAAAAAUCAAAAACGGUAGCACUGAAUUUCUACCUGUUGCCAAAAAAUACCACCCUCACCCCAUUGCCUGCCGAGGAGCUAGAAUUGCUUCAGGCAGGCAUGGGGAGAAAGAGUGUUUCGAUGCCAGAGACUGGUGACCAUUCAGAGAUUACGCAAGUCUUGACUGACACGUUUCCAAAAAUGGAGAAUCUUGCCGGCGGAUGGCUCCUACACAAAGCCUCAGGUGGCAGUGGCCGACGCAAACUUACUGUUAUACCGCCAGAAGCGGAAGGAUACUCUGUAAAAGCUCUUCGAGCUGUCUCUACAGGUGGGAAAGCAAUACUUUUCAUAGUCCCAUUGCAGGAGAGAUUGGAUACUUCACCU
Long non-coding RNA from Sardina pilchardus (European sardine), 478 nucleotides. RefSeq lists it as uncharacterized. NCBI's taxonomy places the organism in Eukaryota, Metazoa, Chordata, Actinopteri, Clupeiformes, Clupeidae. The record is from RefSeq and is a predicted model, not a curated record. The transcript is spliced from 3 exons.